UGGGGAAUAUUGGACAAUGGGGGAAACCCUGAUCCAGCAAUGCCGCGUGAGUGAGGAAGGCCUUAGGGUUGUAAAGCUCUUUCGCCCGCGAAGAUAAUGACGGUAGCGGGAGAAGAAGCCCCGGCUAACUCCGUGCCAGCAGCCGCGGUAAUACGGAGGGGGCUAGCGUUGUUCGGAAUUACUGGGCGUAAAGCGUACGUAGGCGGAUGCGCAAGUUGGGGGUGAAAUCCCGGGGCUUAACCUCGGAAUUGCCCUCAAAACUGCACGUCUUGAGACCGAGAGAGGUAAGGGGAAUUCCUAGUGUAGAGGUGAAAUUCGUAGAUAUUAGGAAGAACACCAGUGGCGAAGGCGCCUUACUGGCUCGGUACUGACGCUGAGGUACGAAAGCGUGGGGAGCAAACA
Molecule: ribosomal RNA, 402 nt
Filed under: uncultured bacterium
Lineage: Bacteria
Description: bacterial SSU rRNA
Rfam family: Bacterial small subunit ribosomal RNA
Source: RNAcentral